AAAUGGAAAAAGGGUAACUGAGAUGAGGAAUAUUUCAUUUGCUCACAGCUUCUGAAAACAUUUUCUCAAGUGUGUAAUAGUAGUUGCCAUAUUUCACUUGCAAGCAGCUGCAAUAAAAUCUUGCCUAUUUGGUUGGACUGACUCUUCACAACGAAUGACCGCAGAUUCCCACAGGGGUAUUACACCGACUCAGAAGCUCACGAAACUCAACUCUGCUUUUAGCACCUUGUAAAGAUGGAUCCCAUCAUUCUGCAGAUCACAUUUCAGUCAUCACAGCAAUAAAAUCAAAUGAAUUGCCUUUGUGCAAGCUUUUACUUGAUUUCAAAUACCCAGAGGGUAGGUGAGGUUACAGAUCAAAUUAUGUGAAUACAGCAGCCAGCAGGCUACCCAAUCCCAUCUUAAUGAGCCCUUCAUCACAUGGCAGAAGAAAUCCUUUAUUGAUCGUCUAUGUCCCACUUUGACACAGCAAUGAAGGGACUGGACC
Non-coding RNA from Pantherophis guttatus, 484 nucleotides. Lineage: Eukaryota; Metazoa; Chordata; Lepidosauria; Squamata; Colubridae. The record is from RefSeq and is a predicted model, not a curated record.